This 94-nucleotide ribosomal RNA is filed under the name Oxyrrhis marina. RNAcentral describes it as "partial Bacterial large subunit ribosomal RNA". Lineage: Eukaryota; Dinophyceae; Oxyrrhinales; Oxyrrhinaceae. The record is from RNAcentral.
GUUUCUGGGGAGCUACUGUCAUUACCAAUCUUUUAUCUGCUAUUCCUUGUAUUAUUCAAUGGAUCUCUGGAGGUUUAUUUGUUCAUAAUCCAAC